ACAGGCGACAGAUUACACAGCUCUAAAACACAAACAGUCUGAUUUUCACAACACUGCAGUUUUAAAGCUCACUGACAUCAGCAGCAAUCAGAUCAUCCUCACAUCCAAACACACACCCAACCUGCAGUCAAGCACUUCUCUCUGUUUAUCAUCACAGGGAGCUUAACGUGUUCCAGCACCUGGCAAAAUGGGCUAUCUGAAACUAAUUGAGAUUGAAAAUUUCAAAUCUUAUAAAGGCCGACAAAUAAUCGGACCUUUCCGCAAAUUCACAGCUAUAAUCGGACCAAACGGCUCGGGAAAAUCCAACCUGAUGGACGCCAUCAGUUUUGUGCUGGCAGAAAAGACCAGUAACCUCCGUGUUAAAACACUGAAAGACCUGAUUCACGGUGCGCCGGUAGGAAAACCUGCAGCUAACCGUGCAUGUGUCGGUAUGGUGUACUGUGAGGAUAACGGACAUGAGCGCACAUUCACGCGAGUUAUAAUCGGUGCCUCAUCUGAAUAUCGGAUUGACAACAAGGUGGUAGGACUCUCAGAGUACAGUGAGGAAUUGGAGAAACUGGGAAUCCUCAUCAAGGCCAGGAACUUCCUAGUAUUUCAGGGUGCUGUGGAAUCCAUAGCUAUGAAAAAUCCCAAAGAGAGAACGGCUCUGUUUGAGGAGAUCUCCCGCUCUGGGGAACUAGCUCAGGAGUAUGAUCGCAGGAAGAAAGAGAUGGUAAAGGCGGAAGAGGACACCCAGUUCAAUUACCACCGUAAGAAGAACAUCGCGGCUGAACGCAAAGAGGCCAAGCAAGAGAAAGAGGAGGCUGAGCGUUACCAGAGGCUGAAAGACGAGGUUGUUAGAGCUAAUGUGCAGUUACAGCUUUUCAAACUGUACCACAAUGAGUCUGAAAUUGAGAAGCUCAACCGAGAGCUGUCCCAGCGUAACCGGGAGAUCGAGAAAGAUAGAAAGAAGAUGGAUCAUAUAGAUGAGGAGCUUAAAGACAAGAAGAAAGAGUUGGGGAGAAUGAUGAGAGAGCAGCAGAAUGUGGAGAAAGAGAUAAAAGAGAAGGAUGCCGAGUUAAACCAGAAACGGCCUCAAUACAUCAAGGCCAAGGAGAACACCUCACACAAGAUAAAGAAGCUGGAGGCAGCACGAAAGUCUUUGCAGAAUGCUCAGAAGAUGUACAAGAAGCGUAAAGCAGACAUGGAGGAGCUGGACCGAGAACAGGGAGCUGUGGAGAUGGCCAGGCAGGAGUUUGAGGAGCGCAUGGAGGAGGAGGCUCAGAGUCAAGGCCAGGACCUCACUCUGGAGGAGAACCAGGUAAAGCAGUACCACAGGCUGAAGGAGGAGGCAAGUAAGCGAGCAGCCACUCUGGCCCAAGAGCUGGAAAAGUUCAACCGGGAUCAGAAAGCUGACCAGGACAGACUGGAUCUGGAGGAGAGGAAGAAAGUGGAGACUGAGGCCAAAAUCAAGCAGAAAAUCAGAGAGAUUGAGGAAAACCAGAAGCGUAUUGAGAAGCUGGAAGAUUACAUUGCGACCAGCAGGCAGUCGUUAGAUGAACAAAGGAGGAUGGAAGAGGAACUGACUGAGGAAGUGGAGCUUGCCAAAAGAAGGAUUGAUGAAAUAAACAUGGAAUUAAACCAGGUGAUGGAGCAACUUGGGGAUGCGAGAAUUGACAGACAGGAAAAUAGCCGUCAACAGCGAAAAGCUGAAAUCAUGGAGAGCAUCAAAAGGUUGUACCCAGGCUCUGUAUAUGGCAGACUUAUUGACCUGUGCCAGCCAACGCAAAAGAAAUAUCAGAUUGCUGUGACAAAGGUUCUGGGAAAGAACAUGGAUGCUAUCAUUGUGGAUUCAGAGAAGACAGGUAGAGACUGCAUACAGUACAUCAAAGAGCAAAGAGGAGAACCAGAGACUUUUCUGCCCCUGGACUACCUAGAGGUAAAACCCACUGAUGAAAAACUGAGGGAGCUACGAGGAGCCAAACUGGUGAUUGACGUGAUCCGUUAUGAGCCACCUCACAUCAAGAAAGCUUUGCAAUACGCCUGUGGAAAUGCUCUUGUGUGUGAGAAUGUCGAAGAUGCACGCAGGAUCGCGUUUGGAGGGCCUUAUAGGCAUAAGACUGUAGCCUUGGAUGGCACUCUUUUCCAAAAGUCUGGGGUGAUCUCUGGAGGAGCAAGUGACCUCAAAGCCAAGGCUCGACGCUGGGAUGAAAAAGCUGUGGACAAACUCAAAGACAAAAAAGAAAAGCUAACCGAAGAGCUCAAGGAGCAAAUGAAGGCAAAGAGGAAGGAAGCAGAGCUGAGGCAGGUGCAGUCUCAGGCCCAUGGCUUACAAAUGAGACUGAAGUACUCUCAGAGUGACCUAGAACAGACCAAAACACGUCACCUUUCCCUCAACAUGCAGGAGAAAUCAAAGCUAGAGAGUGAACUGGCAAAUUUUGGACCCCGAAUCAAUGACAUCAGGAGAAUCAUCCAAUCACGUGAAAGAGACAUCACACAGCUGAGAGACCGCAUGAACCUGGUGGAGGAUGAGGUAUUUGUGGAAUUCUGCAAAGAGAUUGGAGUGAGAAAUAUCCGAGAGUUUGAAGAGGAGAAAGUUAAAAGACAGAAUGAGAUUGCCAAAAAACGACUUGAAUUUGAGACCCAAAAGACCCGCUUAGCCAUUCAGCUGGACUAUGAGAAGAACCAACUGAAGGAGGACCAGGAGAAAGUGAUGAUGUGGGAGCAGACUGUGAAGAAGGAUGAGAGUGAGAUCGAAAGACUUAAGAAGGAAGAGCACAGACAAAUGAAGAUCAUUGAUGAGACCAUGGCUCAGUUGCAGGACCUCAAAAACCAGCACCUAACUAAAAAAGGCGAAGUCAAUGACAAAAACCGAGAGAUGGAGGACAUCCGCAAGAAACUAGGAUCUGCCAACAAAGAGCUCACUCAGCUCCAGAAAGAGGUGACAGCUAUUGAGACAAAGCUGGAGCAGAAGCGGAGUGACAGGCACAAUCUUCUGCAGGCCUGUAAGAUGCAGGACAUCAAACUGCCCCUCAAAUCAGGAACCAUGGAUGACAUCAGCCAAGAAGAGGGAGGUUCCCAAGUUGAUGAGUCCAUCAGCAGUCACAAAACCUCCAGCUCUGUGCAUGCCAAGGAGGCCCUCAUAGAAAUUGACUACAACAACUUACAUGAAGACCUCAAAGAUGCUUUGUCUGAGGAAGAGAUCAAGAUUGAGAUGAACACUUUGCAGCAGAGGCUGAACGAGCAGCAGAGCAUCCUCCAGCGCAUCAGUGCUCCCAACAUGAAGGCCAUGGAGAAGCUGGAGAGUGUCAGGGACAAGUUCCAGGAAACCAGUGACGAGUUUGAAGCAGCACGAAAGAGAGCUAAGAAGGCCAAGCAGGCAUUUGAACAGAUUAAGAAGGAAAGAUUUGACAGAUUUAAUACCUGCUUCGAGUCUGUCGCCACCAAUAUUGAUGAAAUCUACAAGGCCCUCUCUCGUAACAGCAGUGCACAGGCAUUCCUAGGCCCAGAGAACCCUGAGGAACCAUAUUUGGAUGGAAUCAAUUACAACUGCGUGGCUCCUGGAAAGAGAUUCAGGCCGAUGGACAACCUGUCUGGAGGUGAGAAGACGGUGGCAGCCCUCGCUCUGCUUUUCGCCAUUCACAGGACAGUCAUGUGGCAGCAUGUUGACUGAAUACACAGCCCUGGGAAAGUGUGGUGUGCUGGAGGUGGUGUUGCUGAUCCUGACAGACUGACAAAAAUCUCCUAGCUAAAAAAGAUCCAGGAUCCAAGUGGCAGAGCAGGAUAGUCAAACCCAUCAGGCUCAGCUUAUUUGUCUAUGAGCCUAAUUGUACAUUGUACAAAGAAAGAUGGUUUGUAUAGCAGAUAUGAAAAUAAAAAUCAGCACACAACCAGAAACCCUGUUCUUUUUUUCCAGUUCAAACUGAAUUCACCAAUGGCGCUGGAGUUUCUUGUAAUAAUGAUUUAAAAAUAGAUAAAGGAUGGUGAAAUGGUCAUUACAUUAGUGUGGGAUAGAUUCAGACUAUAAGCUAUACAUAUAUAACAGUGGUGUCAUGCACCUGUUUUUGUAAGGGGGCAAAGUGUGCACAAGACACAAACAGGUGACAUUAAGAGACACGUGAAUUUUGAACCAUCAUCUUUGCAUGUUAACUUUGUGUUUGCAAGUUUUGUGAUCUUUCCGUGGUACGGGGGGUUUUCACUGACAAAGCUGCCAUUAUCCCACGAUCGUGAACAUAGACAGAUUACAUAUUCAGUAUAUCGUUCACUGAAUUGCUUAACCUUAGCCUUUUUAUUCAGUACAUUCAUUUUCAUAAAGGGGGCCAAAAUUUCUACAAGCCACUAUAUCUACUAUGCCUGCGCGUUGUCAUUUUCCCUGAAAUUUUUAAUCCAAUAAGAAUUUGCAUUUUAGCUACAAGCCUGCUCCUUUUUUUGUCCUUGAUGAGAUCGAUGCUGCGCUUGAUAACACGAACAUUGGCAAGGUGGCCAAUUACAUAAAAGACCAGUCUCUCCAAAACUUCCAGGCAGUCGU
This is an RNA transcript of Tachysurus vachellii, 4507 nucleotides long. It is a transcript of the gene named structural maintenance of chromosomes protein 1A-like, with no coding region annotated. The transcript is spliced from 25 exons. The record is from RefSeq and is a predicted model, not a curated record. NCBI's taxonomy places the organism in Eukaryota, Metazoa, Chordata, Actinopteri, Siluriformes, Bagridae.